AUGGUGAACUGGGGAAAAGAAUGACAUGAAUUAAACAUGCUCAUGCUCAGAGCAGAGUAUGUGCAGGAUUGCACUUUACAGAAAUAUGUACUUCCCUGACUUAAAGCAGCAUCAAAUUGCUUAAAUUCACCAGACAUGUCUAUAAAUUGUUACAUAAUAGAUAUGUACUGUACCAUACAUUAGUGCACACUUAAAGGCAUUCAGUCCAGCAUGCACAUGUAUUGUGUUGUGCUACUCUUGUACUGCAUAUAAAAUGGUUUCUUGUGUUUUAACAAUAAAUACUUUCUAUUUACAGCUGUUUUAGAGUGCUUUUGAAGAAAAUCUACACAAUAAGGACCGAGAAACUUUCCAAGCAGGCAGGAGACAAGGACCCUCAUUUAUUAAACUCAUAUGUGACCCUGGAGCACAAAACCAGUCAUAAGUAGCACAGGUGAUAUGAGAAAACACAGCCACGGCGGGUAAAGACACAAGCACUGCUCCGAUCAUGUGACGGGGAACCCAGCCGGAAAUGGCCCAGAGGAGGGUCCUGGUGCAGUUCAGGACUCUGUCCAGGAUCUGAGCAGCUGUUGCUGUGAACCGCCCCGUCUUCAGAAGUUAACGCACCACACGAGGGACAAGCAGACUGAAGGAAGAGAAGAAGGAAAUCAUCAAAUGGAAUUACGCGCAGCAGAGAGAACAGAACCGAACCCUUCACUUACUGUUUUAAUUCAAUAAAAAUUAUGCUAGAAGCAAUACUCCACAUGGAAAGAUCAGUGACGCUAUACUUUGUUCACAAUGUUAGUGUGCUUAUUGUUAUUAGCGCAUUGCUAUGGCAUUGCUAGGUGGCUUCUAGGAGCUUAAGUCUAAGAAUGCUUUGUUUUGAGUUCCAAUUAAAGGGAUA
This is a long non-coding RNA of Cyprinus carpio (common carp), 880 nucleotides long. RefSeq lists it as uncharacterized. The record is from RefSeq and is a predicted model, not a curated record. NCBI's taxonomy places the organism in Eukaryota, Metazoa, Chordata, Actinopteri, Cypriniformes, Cyprinidae. The transcript has 3 exons.